UACGAAGGGGGCUAGCGUUGCUCGGAAUCACUGGGCGUAAAGCGCACGUAGGCGGCUUCUUAAGUCAGGGGUGAAAUCCUGGAGCUCAACUCCAGAACUGCCUUUGAUACUGGGAAGCUUGAGUCCGGGAGAGGUGAGUGGAACUGCGAGUGUAGAGGUGAAAUUCGUAGAUAUUCGGAAGAACACCAGUGGCGAAGGCGGCUCACUGGACUGGUAUUGACGCUGAGGUGCGAAAGCGUGGGGAGCAAACAGG
This 253-nucleotide ribosomal RNA is filed under the name uncultured bacterium. RNAcentral describes it as "partial 16S ribosomal RNA". It matches the Rfam family "Bacterial small subunit ribosomal RNA", at positions 524 to 776 of the family's 1533-position model. The record is from RNAcentral.